RNAcentral lists this ribosomal RNA (450 nucleotides) under uncultured bacterium. Its description in RNAcentral is "partial 16S ribosomal RNA". It matches the Rfam family "Bacterial small subunit ribosomal RNA", at positions 338 to 795 of the family's 1533-position model. The record is from RNAcentral.
CCUACGGGGGGCUGCAGUGGGGAAUCUUGCGCAAUGGGCGAAAGCCUGACGCAGCGACGCCGCGUGGGUGAUGAAGGCCUUCGGGUUGUAAAGCUCUUUGGGUGGAGACGAAUAAGUCGUGGCUAACAUCCACGAUGAUGACGGUAUCCACAUAACAAGCACCGGCUAACUCUGUGCCAGCAGCCGCGGUAAGACAGAGGCGGCAAACGUGGUUCGGAAUUACUGGGCGUAAAGCGCAUAGGGCCGACCAGAAAUCCCUCGGCUCAACCAAGGAAGUGCAUUCGAAACCGCAUGGCUGGAGUCCCGGAGAGGAAGGUGGAAUUCUCGGUGUAGAGGUGAAAUUCGUAGAUAUCGAGAGGAACACCGGUGGCGAAAGCGGCCUUCUGGACGAGGACUGACGCUGAGAUGCGAAAGCGUGGGGAGCAAACAGGAUUAGAUACCCUUGUAGUC